GAUGAACGCUGGCGGCGUGCCUAAUACAUGCAAGUCGAGCGAACGGACGAGAAGCUUGCUUCUCUGAUGUUAGCGGCGGACGGGUGAGUAACACGUGGAUAACCUACCUAUAAGACUGGGAUAACUUCGGGAAACCGGAGCUAAUACCGGAUAAUAUUAUGAACCGCAUGGUUCAAAAGUGAAAGACGGUCUUGCUGUCACUUAUAGAUGGAUCCGCGCUGCAUUAGCUAGUUGGUAAGGUAACGGCUUACCAAGGCAACGAUGCAUAGCCGACCUGAGAGGGUGAUCGGCCACACUGGAACUGAGACACGGUCCAGACUCCUACGGGAGGCAGCAGUAGGGAAUCUUCCGCAAUGGGCGAAAGCCUGACGGAGCAACGCCGCGUGAGUGAUGAAGGUCUUCGGAUCGUAAAACUCUGUUAUUAGGGAAGAACAUAUGUAUAAGUAACUGUGCACAUCUUGACGGUACCUAAUCAGAAAGCCACGGCUAACUACGU
Molecule: ribosomal RNA, 496 nt
Filed under: uncultured bacterium
Lineage: Bacteria
Description: partial 16S ribosomal RNA
Rfam family: Bacterial small subunit ribosomal RNA
Source: RNAcentral